UGGGGGAUAUUGCACAAUGGGCGAAAGCCUGAUGCAGCGACGCCGCGUGGGGGAUGAAGGCUUUCGGGUUGUAAACCUCUUUCGCUAUCGAACAAGGCCCGCUUAGGGUGGGUUGAGGGUAGGUGGAGAAGAAGCGCCGGCUAACUACGUGCCAGCAGCCGCGGUAAUACGUAGGGCGCGAGCGUUGUCCGGAAUUAUUGGGCGUAAAGGGCUUGUAGGCGGCUUGUUGCGCCUGCUGUGAAAACGCGGGGCUUAACUUCGCGCGUGCAGUGGGUACGGGCAGGCUUGAGUGUGGUAGGGGUGAAGGGAAUUCCAGGUGUAGCGGUGGAAUGCGCAGAUAUCUGGGGGAACACCGAUGGCGAAGGCAGGUCACUGGGCCAUUACUGACGCUGAGGAGCGAAAGCAUGGGUAGCGAACAGG
RNAcentral lists this ribosomal RNA (420 nucleotides) under bacterium. RNAcentral's name for it is "partial 16S ribosomal RNA". It matches the Rfam family "Bacterial small subunit ribosomal RNA", at positions 355 to 776 of the family's 1533-position model. The record is from RNAcentral.